RNAcentral lists this non-coding RNA (279 nucleotides) under marine eukaryotic metagenome. The record is from RNAcentral.
AUCACGGUUUGAACCGACCCUUUGCCGAAACUUUUGGUGCCGACAACAAUCGCGCGGCGAUGAUCCUGCAAUGCGCCGGCGACGAUUUCGGAUGCGGACGCAGAUCCGCCGUUGAUCAGAACAACAAUCGGUUUGCCAUCGAUCAAAUCACCGGGAUUUGCGUUGAACCGUUCCCCAUCGUUUGGAUCACGUCCACGGGUGGAUACGAUUUCGCCCUUGUCCAGGAAUGCGUCAGACACGGCAAUCGCCUGAUUCAGCAAACCGCCGGGAUUGUUGCGC